This 630-nucleotide ribosomal RNA is filed under the name uncultured Russulaceae. RNAcentral's name for it is "LSU rRNA". It matches the Rfam family "Eukaryotic large subunit ribosomal RNA", at positions 47 to 649 of the family's 3401-position model. The record is from RNAcentral. Lineage: Eukaryota; Fungi; Basidiomycota; Agaricomycetes; Russulales; Russulaceae.
UAAGCGGAGGAAAAGAAACUAACAAGGAUUCCCCUAGUAACUGCGAGUGAAGCGGGAAAAGCUCAAAUUUGGAAUCUGGUGGUCUUUGGCCAUCCGAGUUGUAAUUUAGAGAAGCGUCUUCCGCGCUGGACCGUGCACAAGUCUCCUGGAAUGGAGCGUCAUAGAGGGUGAGAAUCCCGUCUUUGGCAUGGAAUCCCAGGGCUUCUGUGAUGCGCUCUCGACGAGUCGAGUUGUUUGGGAAUGCAGCUCAAAAUGGGUGGUGAACUCCAUCUAAAGCUAAAUAUUGGCGAGAGACCGAUAGCGAACAAGUACCGUGAGGGAAAGAUGAAAAGCACUUUGGAAAGAGAGUGAAACAGUACGUGAAAUUGUUGAAAGGGAAACGCUUGAAGUCAGUCGCGUCGACCGAGACUCAGCCUUGCCUCGGCUUGGUGUACUUCUCGGCUUGACGGGUCAGCAUCGAUUUCAAUCCUCGGAUAAUGGCAAGGGAAAGGUAGCACCUUUUUAGGUGUGUUAUAGUCCGCUGUCGCAUGCGAGGGUCGGGAUCGAGGAACUCAGCACGUACCUCAGGGUGUCGGGGCCUUGGCCCACGUUUACGUGCUUAGGAUGCUGGCGUAAUGGCUUUAAACGACC